UGUGGAUGUAGUUACGAUAGCACAUGUGCACAUAAUGCUGUCCACGCAGAGAUCUGUGCAGCACGGAGGGUCUGUGUGCCGGUGUCGGCGGUGCUCGGCAGGGAUGGCAGCCGUGUGCUGUGCAGUCCCGGUGCCUGCAGGUCUGUCUGCAUGUGCAGAUCUCCCAUGGGGUGGAGGAGCGGCAUAAAACCCAUUGGUGUGGGAGCAAUCUGUCAUGGCAGGGUGUGGUAACGGGGCAGGGGGAGGCGCGUCAACAGGUUUGGAGCUGAAGUGAUCUCCCCGUGCAGUACUAAAAAACAAACCGAUGUGCAGCGAUACAAUGGGAGGAAAUUCUGUUUUGUGCUCCGAACAACAGACCUCCGUCACGUUCCUCCCGUGAUUGAUG
RNAcentral lists this long non-coding RNA (385 nucleotides) under Gallus gallus (chicken). Its description in RNAcentral is "long non-coding RNA NONGGAT005681". The record is from RNAcentral. Lineage: Eukaryota; Metazoa; Chordata; Aves; Galliformes; Phasianidae.